This 240-nucleotide unclassified non-coding RNA is filed under the name soil metagenome. RNAcentral describes it as "partial contains 5.8S ribosomal RNA, internal transcribed spacer 2, and large subunit ribosomal RNA". The record is from RNAcentral.
AACGCACGAGACCUGCGGACCUGCGGAAGGAUCAUUACUGAGUUAGGGUCUUUUAUGGCCCGACCUCCAACCCUUUGUUUAUUAUACCGUGUUGCUUUGGCGGGCCUGUCUUUCGGGGCUGCCGGGGGCACUACUGCCCCUGACCCGUGCCUGCCAGGAGCCUUCCUUAAAUUCUGUGUUAAAACUGUGAUGUCUGAGUUUCAACAUCAAAUUAUACAAAACUUUUAACAACGGAUCUCU